GACGAACGCUGGCGGCGUGCUUAACACAUGCAAGUCGAACGGCAAGGCCCUGCUUUUGUGGGGUGCUCGAGUGGCGAACGGGUGAGUAACACGUGAGUAACCUGCCCUUGACUUUCGUAUAACUUCAGGAAACUGGGGCUAAUACCGUAUAGGAGCUCCUGCUGCAUGGUGGGGGUUGGAAAGUUUCGGCGGUUGGGGAUGGACUCGCGGCUUAUCAGCUUGUUGGUGGGGUAGUGGCUUACCAAGGCUUUGACGGGUAGCCGGCCUGAGAGGGUGACCGGCGACAUGGGGACUGAGAGACGGACCAGAGUCGAACGGGAGGCAGCAGGGGGGAAUAUUGCACAAUGGGAGGAAGCCGGAUGAAGAAACGCCGCGUGCGGGAUGACGGUCUGCGGGUUGUAAACAGCUUUAGCCUGUGACGAAGCGGGAGUGACGGUAAUGGGUAAAGAAGCACCGGCUAACUACGUG
RNAcentral lists this ribosomal RNA (468 nucleotides) under uncultured bacterium. Its description in RNAcentral is "partial 16S ribosomal RNA". It matches the Rfam family "Bacterial small subunit ribosomal RNA", at positions 28 to 507 of the family's 1533-position model. The record is from RNAcentral.